This 497-nucleotide ribosomal RNA is filed under the name uncultured bacterium. RNAcentral describes it as "partial 16S ribosomal RNA". It matches the Rfam family "Bacterial small subunit ribosomal RNA", at positions 28 to 507 of the family's 1533-position model. The record is from RNAcentral.
GACGAACGCUGGCGGCGUGCCUAAUACAUGCAAGUCGAACGCUGAAGAGAGGAGCUUACUCUUCUUGGAUGAGUUGCGAACGGGUGAGUAACGCGUAGGUAACCUGCCUUGUAGCGGGGGAUAACUAUUGGAAACGAUAGCUAAUACCGCAUAACAAUGGAUGACACAUGUCAUUUAUUUGAAAGGGGCAAUUGCUCCACUACAAGAUGGACCUGCGUUGUAUUAGCUAGUAGGUGAGGUAAUGGCUCACCUAGGCGACGAUACAUAGCCGACCUGAGAGGGUGAUCGGCCACACUGGGACUGGGACACCGGCCAGACUCCCACGGGAGGCAGCAGUAGGGAAUCUUCGGCAAUGGGGGCAACCCUGACCGAGCAACGCCGCGUGAGUGAAGAAGGUUUUCGGAUCGUAAAGCUCUGUUGUAAGUCAAGAACGGGUGUGAGAGUGGAAAGUUCACACUGUGACGGUAGCUUAACAGAAAGGGACGGCUAACUACGUG